UAGGACGUGUGAUAGUACCUUACUACAUUCUAGGAUACCUGUGGUAAUUCAUAGAGCUAAUACAUGCUGAAAACACUCGACUGUCGGAAGGGGUGUAUUUGGAUUAGAUAAAAAACCAAUGCCCUUCGGGGCUCCUUGGUGAAUGUUUUCAUUAAUAACUUAACGAAUCGCAUGGCCUUGCAGCCGGCGAUGGUUCAUUCAAAUUUCUGCCCUAUCAACUUUCGAUUAGGGGUAGGAUAGUGGCCUACCAUGGUGGGCUCAACGGGUAACGGGGAAUUAGGGUUCUUGGAUUCCGGAGAGGGAGCCUGAGAAACGGCUACCACAUCCAAGGAAGGCAGCAGGCGCGCAAAUUACCCAAUCCCGACACGGGGAGGUAGUGACAAUAAAUACUGAUACGGGGCUCUUUUGGGUCUGACGUAAUUGGAAUGAGUACAAUCUAAAUCCCUUAACGAGGAACUGAAUUGGAGGGCAAGUCUGGUGCCAGCAGCCGCGGUAAUUCGUCAGCUCCAAUAGCGUAUCGAUUAAAGUUGUUGCAGUUAAAAAGCUCGGUCCGCAUUAGUUGAACCUUGGGUUCUUGGCCGGCCGGUCCGCCUCAGCCGCGAGUACUGUCCGGCCGUUCCUUUCCUUCUGGGGAAUCCCAUGGCCUUCACUGGCUGUGGGGGGAACCAGGACUUUUACUGUGAAAAAAUUAGAGUGUUCAAAGGGCCCAGGCAACUUUGCUCGAAUACAUUAGCAUGGAAUAAUAGAAUAGGACGUGUGGUUCUAUUUUGUUGGUUUCUAGGACCGCCGUAAUGAUUAAUACGUGCCGAUUACGU
RNAcentral lists this ribosomal RNA (815 nucleotides) under Aspergillus sp. Its description in RNAcentral is "SSU rRNA". It matches the Rfam family "Eukaryotic small subunit ribosomal RNA", at positions 113 to 888 of the family's 1831-position model. The record is from RNAcentral. Lineage: Eukaryota; Fungi; Ascomycota; Eurotiomycetes; Eurotiales; Aspergillaceae.